Small nucleolar RNA from Lactuca sativa (garden lettuce), 107 nucleotides. The record is from RefSeq and is a predicted model, not a curated record. Lineage: Eukaryota; Viridiplantae; Streptophyta; Magnoliopsida; Asterales; Asteraceae.
AAGUCAUGUUGAUUAAAAUUUCUUAGAAGGCCCUUGUAUCUCUCCCAAGCUUCAUAUAAGGACUCACUAAUUUCUUGUUGGAAGUUGGCAAUCAUCUUUUUAAGUUU